This 701-nucleotide ribosomal RNA is filed under the name Stropharia coronilla. RNAcentral's name for it is "eukaryotic LSU rRNA". It matches the Rfam family "Eukaryotic large subunit ribosomal RNA", at positions 54 to 741 of the family's 3401-position model. The record is from RNAcentral. Lineage: Eukaryota; Fungi; Basidiomycota; Agaricomycetes; Agaricales; Strophariaceae.
AGGAAAAGAAACUAACAAGGAUUCCCCUAGUAACUGCGAGUGAAGCGGGAAAAGCUCAAAUUUAAAAUCUGGUAGUCUUUGACUGUCCGAGUUGUAAUCUAGAGAAGUGUUAUCCGCGCUGGACCGUGUACAAGUCUCCUGGAAUGGAGCGUCACAGAGGGUGAGAAUCCCGUCUUUGACACGGACUGCCAGUGCUUUGUGAUGCGCUCUCAAAGAGUCGAGUUGUUUGGGAAUGCAGCUCAAAAUGGGUGGUAAAUUCCAUCUAAAGCUAAAUAUUGGCGAGAGACCGAUAGCGAACAAGUACCGUGAGGGAAAGAUGAAAAGAACUUUGGAAAGAGAGUUAAACAGUACGUGAAAUUGCUGAAAGGGAAACGCUUGAAGUCAGUCACAUUGUCUGAGAAUCAACCUUGCUUUUGCUGGGCGUACUUCUCAGAUGAUNNGGGUCAGCAUCAAUUUUGACCGUUGGAUAAAGUCUNGAGGAAUGUGGCAUCUUAGGAUGUGUUAUAGCCUUUAGUCGCAUACAACGGUUGGGAUUGAGGAACUCAGCACGCCGCAAGGCCGGGUUUCGACCACGUUCGUGCUUAGGAUGUUGGCAUAAUGGCUUUAAUCGACCCGUCUUGAAACACGGACCAAGGAGUCUAACAUGCCUGCGAGUAUUUGGGUGGAAAACCCGAGUGCGCAAUGAAAGUAAAAGUUGAGAU